This is a long non-coding RNA of Tigriopus californicus, 824 nucleotides long. RefSeq lists it as uncharacterized. The transcript is spliced from 2 exons. The record is from RefSeq and is a predicted model, not a curated record. NCBI's taxonomy places the organism in Eukaryota, Metazoa, Arthropoda, Copepoda, Harpacticoida, Harpacticidae.
AUAGACGCAUUACGACCUUUCAUUUUAAUAGUAGUGGAGAUUACAUUCCUUGUGUUGACAAUGUAUCUUUGAAACAAACCACUUUGCAAAUGUGUGAUAUGUGAAGCAUUUAAUUGAGUAGAUCUACGUGUCUUAUUCAUCGAUCUAAGUCCAACAGUGCCUCAUAGCUGCCAUCACCACGAGCAGGCACAUUUUGUGAGUAGGGCUGGUCAGAAGGGUCAUACCAUCAUGGUGGCAUCAUUUAAGUCAAAACGAGGGUAGUAAUCACCUCACGGUAGUACACCUACCUGUUUGAGGGCAUACAACGGAUGAAAGCACGUAAGAUUCAAAUACCAGAUAUCUAAAACUAAUUGAAAUGAUUGCUGCAGUAUGAUAAUAGAUUUCUUGUCUAUUUUUCAUGAUUUCCCAUGAAGUUCUGAUGCGAAAGAAAUAAAACAGGUCUAGCAUCAUCUAGCAACAGGGAAGGUUGAUGGUGAAGAGGGGAAAGAUCCCGAGGAAGGUCUUGGUGCACACACAAGUAGCAUUGGGCUGAGCAAUGCAAAUGGGAGCGCACUUCAAUCGGCACCAAACCCUGGGCAAGAUCCUGAAAAUGACAAACCCCGAAAAGAAUAUAAAAUGAGUCUUGUUAUCUACAAGAACAGUUUGUGGAUAAGCGCGUACCUGUCUUGAACCCCAUUGUAUGCGUCCUCUUCGUCCUCGUCCACAUCCUCAUUAGGCUCAACGCCUUCAACCAGUUUGACCUCGGUCAGGACGUAUUGUUGAACGUCGUCGGGUAAAGGAUCCUGUGGUUCAGCAGGCAAAGCCAUGGAUAAUAAGGCCAUGCC